CGACCAUGGUGAAUCAGUGAUACUAACCAUCCAUAAGCACCCGCGAAAAGGUUUUGCUUUUUUGUGGUGUGUGGUUGCGUGGGACCUGAUCUGGUAGUAGCUAAGUGAU
Molecule: ribosomal RNA, 109 nt
Filed under: Corynebacterium glutamicum
Lineage: Bacteria; Bacillati; Actinomycetota; Actinomycetes; Mycobacteriales; Corynebacteriaceae
Description: 23S ribosomal RNA
Source: RNAcentral